This is a long non-coding RNA of Gallus gallus (chicken), 483 nucleotides long. The record is from Ensembl. Lineage: Eukaryota; Metazoa; Chordata; Aves; Galliformes; Phasianidae.
CAGGAUCGGAACAGAGGCACUGAGCCCAGCCCAGGUCUCUGCCAAAGAGCUCAGACCCCAUAGAAGUGACCAAGCAGCCACAGGUUUAGGGGGAGUCCUUCCCCCCGAAUUGCGCCUUGUCAAUAAGCCAAUGGGAUGAGCUCACUCUGCAAAUCCAGGAUGUUGUAACCACCCUCGAAGGAAUAAGGAAUCGCUUAUGAUGACACGGCUGUGGGCGUGCAGCUGCAUCAGCACCCCCCCUUCACCCAGGCCCAAAUCCGCUGCACCCCCAGCGCAGGGCACGGUGUGCCCAGCUGUCCCCAGCACAGGGCAGUGAGCUGCAGAGACAGUGAUGCACGUGGAACCCAUCCUCCACCACCACCAUCCCCGUGCCACCGUGGGAGCGCUGGGGACAGCGUGUCCCGUGCAAGCAAUCACGCUCAGCUCUGCUGUCAUUGCUGCUGCCUGAGCCCCGGCAAUGCUUAUGAAUAAAUGAAAGGAGAG